RNAcentral lists this microRNA precursor (101 nucleotides) under Saimiri boliviensis boliviensis (Bolivian squirrel monkey). RNAcentral's name for it is "miRNA (ENSSBOG00000006009.1)". Lineage: Eukaryota; Metazoa; Chordata; Mammalia; Primates; Cebidae. The record is from RNAcentral.
UGAGGCAGGAGAAUUGCUUGAACCCAGGAGGCGGAGGUUGCAGUGAGCCGAGACCGCGCCACUGCACUCCAGCCUGGGUAACAAGAGCGAAACUCCGUCUC